UUGCAGCUUUUAAUAUAACUUAAAAAAAAAAUCUGUUGUCUGUUACUCAGGUUUCCAUUACAGAUGCAAGAAAAAAAUGUCCUCUCGCUUUCUGUCUGUUUGAUUAUGGCAGCCCAGACGGAAUGGGGGAAUACAGGG
Molecule: small nucleolar RNA, 138 nt
Filed under: Catagonus wagneri (Chacoan peccary)
Lineage: Eukaryota; Metazoa; Chordata; Mammalia; Artiodactyla; Tayassuidae
Description: Small nucleolar RNA SNORA31 (ENSCWAG00000021211.1)
Rfam family: Small nucleolar RNA SNORA31
About the family: ACA31 (SNORA31) belongs to the H/ACA class of snoRNAs which are thought to guide the sites of modification of uridines to pseudouridines. ACA31 is predicted to guide the pseudouridylation of U3713 in 28S rRNA and U218 in 18S rRNA.
Source: Rfam by way of RNAcentral